RNAcentral lists this ribosomal RNA (484 nucleotides) under uncultured bacterium. RNAcentral describes it as "partial 16S ribosomal RNA". It matches the Rfam family "Bacterial small subunit ribosomal RNA", at positions 30 to 507 of the family's 1533-position model. The record is from RNAcentral.
AUUGAACGCUGGCGGCAGGCCUAACACAUGCAAGUCGAGCGGAUGAAGGGAGCUUGCUCCUGGAUUCAGCGGCGGACGGGUGAGUAAUGCCUAGGAAUCUGCCUGGUAGUGGGGGAUAACGUCCGGAAACGGGCGCUAAUACCGCAUACGUCCUGAGGGAGAAAGUGGGGGAUCUUCGGACCUCACGCUAUCAGAUGAGCCUAGGUCGGAUUAGCUAGUUGGUGGGGUAAAGGCAUACCAAGGCGACGAUCCGUAACUGGUCUGAGAGGAUGACCAGUCACACUGGAACUGAGACACGGUCCAGACUCCUACGGGAGGCAGCAGUGGGGAAUAUUGGACAAUGGGCGAAAGCCUGAUCCAGCCAUGCCGCGUGUGUGAAGAAGGUCUUCGGAUUGUAAAGCACUUUAAGUUGGGAGGAAGGGCAGUAAGUUAAUACCUUGCUGUUUUGACGUUACCAACAGAAUAAGCACCGGCUAACUUCGUG